GAUGAAGAACGCAGCGAAAUGCGUUAAGUAAUGUGAAUUGCAGAAUUCAGUGAAUCAUCGAAUCUUUGAACGCACAUUGCGCCCCCCAGUAUUCUGGCGGGCAUGCCUGUUCGAGCGUCAUUUCAACCAUCAAGCCCUGCUUGUGUUGGGGUCCUGCGGCUGCCCGCAGGCCCUGAAAACCAGUGGCGGGCUCGCUAGUCACACCGAGCGCAGUAGCACAUCUCGCUCAGGGCGUGCGGCGGGCUCCAGCCGUUAAAGCACCCACCUUUCGCAAGGUUGACCUCGGAUCAGGUAGGAAUACCCGCUGAACUUAAGCAUAUCAAUAAGCGGAGGA
Molecule: unclassified non-coding RNA, 334 nt
Filed under: soil metagenome
Description: partial contains 5.8S ribosomal RNA, internal transcribed spacer 2, and large subunit ribosomal RNA
Rfam family: 5.8S ribosomal RNA (bases 1-120)
Source: RNAcentral